Molecule: long non-coding RNA, 258 nt
Filed under: Salvia miltiorrhiza (redroot sage)
Lineage: Eukaryota; Viridiplantae; Streptophyta; Magnoliopsida; Lamiales; Lamiaceae
Description: long non-coding RNA (SMIL_LNC008984)
Source: RNAcentral
UUAUUUUGUUAUUUUUGCAUAAUUUUUUUUGAUCGUUUGGAAGUUUAAUAGUUUUUUUUGUUUUCGUUUCUUGAUUUCUCUUUAAUUUACAAUUUUUAUUCUUUUUUAUUUUCAUACACCUAUCGUUCCAUUGUUGUCAGUUUCUGCAUUUUGUGUAUCUGUAAUUUUAUUUUUUUGCAGAACCUGAUUCUGGCGAAGGAGAGGGCGCACGCACCGUUCCUCGAGAUAAAAGCAAGGGUAAAGCAAAAUUAAUUGAAG